RNAcentral lists this ribosomal RNA (541 nucleotides) under uncultured bacterium. RNAcentral's name for it is "bacterial SSU rRNA". It matches the Rfam family "Bacterial small subunit ribosomal RNA", at positions 355 to 894 of the family's 1533-position model. The record is from RNAcentral.
UGGGGAAUAUUGCACAAUGGGCGAAAGCCUGAUGCAGCGACGCCGCGUGAGGGAUGGAGGCCUUCGGGUUGUAAACCUCUUUCGCUCAUGGUCAAGCCGCAGCUUUGGGUUGUGGUGAGGGUAGUGGGUAAAGAAGCGCCGGCUAACUACGUGCCAGCAGCCGCGGUAAUACGUAGGGCGCGAGCGUUGUCCGGAAUUAUUGGGCGUAAAGGGCUUGUAGGCGGUUGGUCGCGUCUGCCGUGAAAUCCUCUGGCUUAACUGGGGGCGUGCGGUGGGUACGGGCUGACUUGAGUGCGGUAGGGGAGACUGGAACUCCUGGUGUAGCGGUGGAAUGCGCAGAUAUCAGGAAGAACACCGGUGGCGAAGGCGGGUCUCUGGGCCGUUACUGACGCUGAGGAGCGAAAGCGUGGGGAGCGAACAGGAUUAGAUACCCUGGUAGUCCACGCUGUAAACGUUGGGCACUAGGUGUGGGGGCCACCCGUGGUUUCUGCGCCGUAGCUAACGCUUUAAGUGCCCCGCCUGGGGAGUACGGCCGCAAGGC